Molecule: ribosomal RNA, 911 nt
Filed under: uncultured bacterium
Lineage: Bacteria
Description: bacterial SSU rRNA
Rfam family: Bacterial small subunit ribosomal RNA
Source: RNAcentral
AGAGUUUGAUCCUGGCUCAGGAUGAACGCUAGCGGCAGGCUUAACACAUGCAAGUCGAGGGGCAGCGGGGAGUAGCAAUACUCUGCCGGCGACCGGCGGAAGGGUGCGUAACACGUGAGCAACAUGCCCGUAUCCGGGGGAUAAGCGUUGGAAACGACGUCUAACAUCCCAUAACAACGACCGGGACAUCCCGGAUGUUUGAAAACUGAGGUGGAUACGGAUUGGCUCGCGUCCCAUUAGCUAGUUGGAGUGGUAACGGCACACCAAGGCGACGAUGGGUAGGGGUUCUGAGAGGAAGGUCCCCCACAUUGGAACUGAGACACGGUCCAAACUCCUACGGGAGGCAGCAGUGAGGAAUAUUGGUCAAUGGACGGAAGUCUGAACCAGCCAUGCCGCGUGCGGGAAUAAGGCCCUAUGGGUCGUAAACCGCUUUUGACGGGGAGCAAUAAGGCGUACGUGUACGCCGAUGAGAGUACUCGUCGAAUAAGCAUCGGCUAACUCCGUGCCAGCAGCCGCGGUAAUACGGAGGAUGCAAGCGUUAUCCGGAUUUAUUGGGUUUAAAGAGUGCGUAGGCUGUGCUUCAAGUCAGGGGUGAAAUGCCCGGGCCUAACCCGGGAACUGCCUUUGAUACUGGAGCGCUGGAAUACGGAUGCCGUGGGAGGAAUGAGUAGUGUAGCGGUGAAAUGCAUAGAUAUUACUCAGAACACCGAUUGCGAAGGCAUCUCACGAAUCCGUCAUUGACGCUGAGGCACGAAAGCGUGGGGAUCAAACAGGAUUAGAUACCCUGGUAGUCCACGCAGUAAACGAUGAUGACUAACCGUCGGCGAUAGACAGUCGGUGGCCAAGCGAAAGCGAUAAGUCAUCCACCUGGGGAGUACGUUCGCAAGAAUGAAACUCAAAGGAAUUGACGG